AAAAGAAGGCGCAGCGGAGCGGGCCCUGUCCAGCAAGUAUAUCUAUAACGCCAGAAUGGCAAAGAGACACAAUAGUGGAAUGAAUUUUAUAAGUGCAAAAUAGCUGCUUGGCUGACUCAUUGACUUGGUCCACCCGGACAAAACUACAACAAUUCACAACAUUUACUGGCAUUUUUAAAGAAUUACUAUAGUUAAACCAAUGUUUAAAUGGCUGCUGUGUCAGGCUGUGCUGGUUGUUAAAACUUUAUGGCUAUUUUGUAAAAAAAAAGAAAAUAUGAAUAAUUCUAAAUUUGGCAUUAUUUCUUAAUAUCCCCUACAAUUCCAUUUUAGAAAAUUUGCGUAUCAUUUUUUUUUUUCACUGAGAUUUUGAACUUUUUUGAUGAGAUUAUUAGUAUGAGAUUAUUUUGAGAACAACCGUCGGCGUUGGUACUGCAAACAUGCUAAAUUUUUGAUGUAGAAUUUUAAGCGCAGUUUAAAAUCACCCGCACGGAAUUCGAUUUAUUCAACAAAGAUCUCAUUGCUUUGACGGAAAAAUUCGCUAGAUAUAAUAAUAUUUUUGAAAAUGCGUCCUGAUUGGAAAAUUAGGAACUCGUUGCGGAAACGUAAAAAACCUUCUGUAGUUACGAACGAUUCUUCUGCCACAAAUAUUGAUACAAAUUCUAACAAUGCAUCAAAGAUUACGUUGAACAUUGCUUCAUCCAGUUCAUCAAAUGCAACUUUCAAACCCGCUUACAGCUUCGACGCCUCUUUUGCUGCAGCUUCGACAAUUCAACCCCUUCCGGUAGUAAUAAAUACCACAUUCCGUUAACCUCAACUUUAACAACUAUACCUCCUAAACAGCUACAGGAAUGAAUUUUAUAAGUGCAAAAUAGCUGCUUGGCUGACUCAUUGACUUGGUCCACCCGGACAAAACUACAACAAUUCACAACAUUUACUGGCAUUUUUAAAGAAUUACUAUAGUUAAACCAAUGUUUAAAUGGCUGCUGUGUCAGGCUGUGCUGGUUGUUAAAACUUUAUGGCUAUUUUGUAAAAAAAAAGAAAAUAUGAAUAAUUCUAAAUUUGGCAUUAUUUCUUAAUAUCAAAAUUUGCGUAUCAUUUUUUUUUUCACUGAGAUUUUGAACUUUUUUGAUGAGAUUAUUAGUAUGAGAUUAUUUUGAGAACAACCGUCGGCGUUGGUACUGCAAACAUGCUAAAUUUUUGAUGUAGAAUUUUAAGCGCAGUUUAAAAUCACCCGCACGGAAUUCGAUUUAUUCAACAAAGAUCUCAUUGCUUUGACGGAAAAAUUCGCUAGAUAUAAUAAUAUUUUUGAAAAUGCGUCCUGAUUGGAAAAUUAGGAACUCGUUGCGGAAACGUAAAAAACCUUCUGUAGUUACGAACGAUUCUUCUGCCACAAAUAUUGAUACAAAUUCUAACAAUGCAUCAAAGAUUACGUUGAACAUUGCUUCAUCCAGUUCAUCAAAUGCAACUUUCAAACCCGCUUACAGCUUCGACGCCUCUUUUGCUGCAGCUUCGACAAUUCAACCCCUUCCGGUAGUAAUAAAUACCACAUUCCGUUAACCUCAACUUUAACAACUAUACCUCCUAAACAGCUACAGGUAAUUUCAUCCAAAAACACUGUUUUCUGAAAUAACCAUUGAAGAUGUCUCUAUCUAUAUAAAAUCGAAAUUUAAUGCAGAAGUCUUUAAAUUUAAAUACCGGGACAGACGAAGCAAAGCAUCAUUUGAAAAUAUUGCUCCUGAGGAAAUUUUUGCCACUGUAGUAAAUCCAACUUUUUGGCCGCCUAAAGCACUUUUAGGGAAUA
This is a long non-coding RNA of Stomoxys calcitrans (stable fly), 1801 nucleotides long. RefSeq lists it as uncharacterized. Lineage: Eukaryota; Metazoa; Arthropoda; Insecta; Diptera; Muscidae. The transcript is spliced from 7 exons. The record is from RefSeq and is a predicted model, not a curated record.